UGUAGUUUCAAAGGGGAUGAUACUUUC
RNAcentral lists this non-coding RNA (27 nucleotides) under Mus musculus (house mouse). Lineage: Eukaryota; Metazoa; Chordata; Mammalia; Rodentia; Muridae. The record is from RNAcentral.